UCCAAUGAACGGGUAAUGUCCCAUGGCCU
RNAcentral lists this non-coding RNA (29 nucleotides) under Rattus norvegicus (Norway rat). The record is from RNAcentral. Lineage: Eukaryota; Metazoa; Chordata; Mammalia; Rodentia; Muridae.